UGGUGGAGUGAUUUGUCUGGUUAAUUCCGUUAACGAACGAGACCUCGACCUGCUAACUAGAUCGGCGAACUCUCGGGUUCGUGCGUGUCUUCUUAGAGGGACUAUCGGUGCGUAGCCGAUGGAAGUUCGAGGCAAUAACA
RNAcentral lists this ribosomal RNA (140 nucleotides) under uncultured eukaryote. RNAcentral's name for it is "partial 18S ribosomal RNA". It matches the Rfam family "Eukaryotic small subunit ribosomal RNA", at positions 1299 to 1458 of the family's 1831-position model. The record is from RNAcentral.